AUUGAACGCUGGCGGCAGGCCUAACACAUGCAAGUCGAGCGGAGCGGCGGACGGGUGAGUAAUGCCUAGGAAUCUGCCUGGUAGUGGGGGAUAACGUCAGGAAACGGGCGCUAAUACCGCAUACUAUCAGAUGAGCCUAGGGCGGAUUAGCUUGUGGGGGGGGUAAAGGUCAACCAAGGCGACGCCCCGUAACUGGUCUGAGAGGAUGAUCAGCCACACUGGAACUGAGACACGGUCCAGACGCCUACGGGAGGCAGCAGUGGGGAAUAUUGGACAAUGGGCGAAAGCCUGAUGCAGCCAUGCCGCGUGUGUGAAGAAGGUCUUCGGGUUGUAAAGCACUUUAAGUUGGGAGGCGUUACCAACAGAAUAAGCACCGGCUAACUUCGUGCCAGCAGCCGCGGUAAUUC
RNAcentral lists this ribosomal RNA (407 nucleotides) under uncultured bacterium. RNAcentral describes it as "partial 16S ribosomal RNA". It matches the Rfam family "Bacterial small subunit ribosomal RNA", at positions 30 to 526 of the family's 1533-position model. The record is from RNAcentral.